Molecule: long non-coding RNA, 511 nt
Organism: Daphnia pulicaria
Lineage: Eukaryota; Metazoa; Arthropoda; Branchiopoda; Diplostraca; Daphniidae
Exons: 2
Source: RefSeq, a predicted model, not a curated record
UGAAGUAGCAUUGACAAAAUUCUUCAAAGAUGUGCAAAGAAAGCGAAUUUAAACUGAGUGAAAAAUGAUCAAAAGCUAUGCCGUCUAGCGUCAAAAAAAGAAACUUCUAAUAGUAACAUGAAAGCACAAAAAACAAUGUCCGCUUACUCCGCUAUAGCUCGUUGACACUCACUUGAAAGAACUAACAAACAAAGGCAAAUAACUGUGAUACUCACGUCAAGGUUGUAUCUCGUGUUCACCAAAAAGCCACCACAGUCAGCAUCACACAUCACAACAGACGAAAUCACCAAGGUUUUGACGGCCAUUGAUGUUCACGCUGUUAAUUGAGAUGCUGCCUAAUGAGGAGAUGGUGAAAGGGGUACUUUAAGUUGUUGCUGCAGCUGCUGUCGCUGCCCUUGGUGUCACAAUGCAAUGUGUUGUCUAUUACUUUGUCUGUCUUGUCAAUUUUUUUCCGACUCUGUCACUCAAAUCUAAUCCAUGCAGUAAUUGCAAAAUUGCACUGCUAACCUGA